ACCCUUGGACCCGUGCCCGGCACACAGUGGUAUGUGAGCAGGGAAAGAUAGCUCUUCAUCAGAGAUGAAGGUGCUCUUGCUGAGAGACUCCAGAUCUGACACAAGUUCCUCGUUUCCUGGCGGCUUGGAGGGCAUUUUGGAAGAGGGAGCAAGCAGAAAGAGGUUUAAGGGCUGGAGGACGCAGGGGAGCAAACAUUGCGCUCUGGACCUGAGCUUGUAAACUCUCAGCAGCCGCAGUCACCUGCACAAGAUCAAGGCAGAAAGAUCACUCAACGUUCCAGCAGGAAGCACUUGAACUGGACUUGGUGCCGUGACCAGGUCCCUAGAACACCCAUGCCACCUCUGAUGGCCCUGCUCUGGACUUCAUCAUUGGAGGUGAUUGUGCGUCUGACUGUCGCCUUAGACUGGCCCAACCUGUCACAGUCCUCUCAAGUAUCCAUCUCAAGGUCAGAUAUACAAGAAGCCUUAGACACUUCAAUGGGUAAUAUGAAUGGAUGAAGUAUGGGUGACUGAAUGGCCUGGUGCAAUGAGAUGGUAUAUACACAGUUCCCUGUCCAGACGAGGAAAGAUGUGACCUGCUCCUCUUCAGUGUCUACCAGAGCACCUGUCUCUGUUCUACCUGGCUUAGCUCCCAUUCCAUGCCAAAGUGGACACAGCUCUGAAAUGACAGGGCCUGGCAUCCCCAAGUCCCCAGAAGACAUUCCUGAGUGCUGAGUGCAUUUUCAUUUCUGAAUGAAUGAAGGAGACUUCACUGGAUCUCUCAGAACUGGAUGGCCUCCGAGCCCCACAAUGUCAGCAGCCGGAGC
Myodes glareolus (Bank vole) is the source of this 806-nucleotide long non-coding RNA. RefSeq lists it as uncharacterized. Lineage: Eukaryota; Metazoa; Chordata; Mammalia; Rodentia; Cricetidae. The record is from RefSeq and is a predicted model, not a curated record.